GACGAACGCUGGCGGCGUGCUUAACACAUGCAAGUCGAGCGACUGCAUUCUUUUCGGAGGGUGUAUGGAGCGGCGAACGGGUGAGUAGCACGUGAGUAAUCUGCCUUUGACUUGGGAAUAACUUCGGGAAAUCGGGGCUAAUGCCUGAUGUUUACUGUCUGCUGCAUGGUGGUGGUGGAAAGAUUUUUUGGCCAGGAUGAGCUCGCGGUCUAUCAGCNGUUGGUGGGGUAAGUGGCUUACCAAGGCUUUGACGGGUAGCCGGCCUGAGAGGGUGUUCGGCCACACUGGACUGAGACACGGCCCUUAGACUCCGUACGGGAGGCAGCAGUGGGGAUAUUGCGCAAUGGGCGUAAGCCUGACGCAGCGACGCCGCGU
This 375-nucleotide ribosomal RNA is filed under the name uncultured bacterium. RNAcentral's name for it is "bacterial SSU rRNA". It matches the Rfam family "Bacterial small subunit ribosomal RNA", at positions 28 to 402 of the family's 1533-position model. The record is from RNAcentral.